GAUGAACGCUGGCGGCGUGCCUAAUACAUGCAAGUCGAGCGAACAGACGAGGAGCUUGCUCCUUCGACGUUUGCGGCGGACGGGCGAGUAACACGUAGGUAACCUACCUAUAAGACUGGGAUCACUUCGGGAAACCGGAGCUAAUACCGGAUAAUAUUUCGAACCGCAUGGUUCGAUGGUGAAAGAUGGCUUUGCUAUCACUUAUAGAUGGACCUGCGCCGUAUUAGCUAGUUGGUAAGGUAACGGCUUACCAAGGCAACGAGACGUAGCCGACCUGAGAGGGUGAUCGGCGACACGAGAGCUGAGACAGGGUCCAGAGGCCUAAGGGAGGCAGCAGUAGGGAAUCGGCCGCAGUGGGCGAAAGCCUGACGGAGCAGCGCGGCGCGAGUGAUGAAGGUCUUCGGAUCGUAAAACUCUGUUAUUAGGGAUGAACAAACGUGUAAGUAACUGUGCACGUCGUGACGGUACCUAAUCAGAAAGCCACGGCUAACUACGUG
This 497-nucleotide ribosomal RNA is filed under the name uncultured bacterium. Its description in RNAcentral is "partial 16S ribosomal RNA". It matches the Rfam family "Bacterial small subunit ribosomal RNA", at positions 28 to 507 of the family's 1533-position model. The record is from RNAcentral.